CCCCACCGCCCGCCCCUUUCCACAAAUGCCACCAAUCAAGCCAUUUCUUUCUCAAGGGGAACUGAGUGAUUUGCAGGGUUUGGGGAAGGUUGCCUGUGCCUAAAGCAUCAUUCCGUCCCACUCUGGUAAGAUUCAUAACUAGCAUGAUUUGGGGGCUUAUCCUAGUGGGAGACUUUGAGAAGGAAAUCAACGUCUUCAAGGGGAAGCAGGUGGAAACACCUUGAGAUAGAUAUCUCCCCAGUCAGGCCAGGCUGGGCAGGGGGAGGCAGAAACAGAAAACAGAAUGAGUGUUCUGGGCAUCCUGCAGUGUGGGGGUCUGUAGUGCCAGCACCAAAGGGGCAACUGAGCUCAGGGCAGAGACAGGAGAACAGCAUCACGUAUUAUUGAUCACGUUACUUUGAAAAUUAUUUUAGAAGUUAGUGUUGUUCUUUUUAUUAUUAUUAGCAAUAUGGAAGGCACUUAAGGACAAAAUUUACUCAGCAACUUUUAGCAGAUAUUUAUUAAACACCGCAACGUACCAAGCAAUGAACAGAAUGAACAAGAAUCCCUGCCUUUAUGGAGUUUGCAAUCUCAUGGAGAUAAGUAACAGCCACCACGUGGCACUGAGAACACGCCAGCCACUGUGCUGAACACGUUUUACACAUUAAUUCAUGAAUCCUUCACAUAACACUGUGAGCUAGACUUUGCUAUUAUCCUCGUUUGGCAAAUGAGGAACCAACUGAGAGUAGAGAAGUUAAGCCUCUUGCCCCAACUCACCCAAGUGGUAGACCUGGGGCUUGAACCCAAGCCUCGUGGCUGUGCUACACCGUAACAUUUUCUGAUGUCACAAUUGGCCAAAUUUGCAAAUUUGAAUACCAUAUAUACCACCUUAAAACCUACUGGGAUGUGGUAUAAAUAGAACCCACUCCCAACAAUAGAAAAUCACAUGAGGGAAGUGGAGAGGGAGGGUCUACACAGAGAGAACUUCAGAGUGGCAGUAACCAUCUAGCUGUUCCGGUAAAAUAUGACCCAGGCAAGGAUUGACACCUCUGAGCUCCAGUUUCCAUAUAUUUUCUUCACGAAGAGAAAAGUCCCAUUGCAGCCAUUUGACAGCACCAUUAUGACAUUCUAUAGACAAUAAAUAUGAAGAUGCUUUGUAAACUGAACCAAUGCAAAUAAUUAGUAGAAUCUGAAACAGACUUACUUUUGCUUUUGUUUGUUUGAGCACACAAGUGCCGUAUACAUUCCACAAGCCUCACAUUCACCCUGUGCUGACUCUUCACAUUCAUUUCCACAACUGGGGAACUAAGGUUCAGGGAGAUAAACAACCUGCUCAGUGUUGGACAGUGGGAAUUCUCCUAUUGCCUCAUUUUUAUACAUUUCCCAGAUCGAUGAUGAAUACAUACAUUUAAUAUAUACUUCACUAAAGUAGAAAACCUACUCUUUGUUGAGCCACUCUGUAUACCAAGCAUAGUGAAGUAUCUUUGUGUAUCUCAUUUAAUCCUUGCAACAGCUUUCUCAGGACUCAGGAUGGGCAACAGCUCAUCUCUGCUUGGUGCUGUGCACGGAGCUCGACUAUCCUGAAUCCACCAUGAUUCGACCUCAUGUCAGUCCUUUGGCUGCCAGCCCAGUUCAACUCCAAGCUGAUGACCAGUGUCGACCGCCAGUCAUUCUGAACAUUUGACCAGUUGAGCUUUCAAAUGAUGGCAGUCCUGGCUGACAUUUUGGGUGAACAAUAUGAGAGACUGACUGGUUGAGCCCUUCCCAAAUUUCUGACCCACAACAUUGUGAGAAAAAUAAUCUUAAGCCUCUCAGUUUGGGGACAAUUUGUUACUCAGCAAUAGAAAUGAAAAUAUGAUCUCAGUAGGACCAUGUGACUUGCAGCAACCAGGGUGACAAUGAACGUCCCUGCAGAUACCCGAGGAGGGGACGCAUGAAGGUUCCCUAGGUGCCCUGUAAAUCUACAGCUUCCUGCUUUCCUCUGCCACAAACACAUGACACGCUGUACCUCUACACCUAAUCUUUUGGUUUGGAAAGGAACGGAAGGUGAUAGAAAUCUGAAAGUUGCGACUGAGGUUUACCAUCCUAAACACAUUAUUUCAGGAGACUAACUCCAAGAUGAUUGGCAUGAACUAGAAUUUUUCUCCCCUUUCUUAUAAAGCAAAUGGGACAGCUCAGGAGGAAGAUCGGAGCAGUUAUAUACAAAAAAUUAACACACAAAUGAAGCAACCACGUGGCCUCUGUGUAUAUGGAGAAAAGUGUGAGCAAAUGUGGGGCCCUAAUACAGAAUGUCAGCCAGGAAGACGAGGAAGGCAGACCUCCCUAGAACAGUGGUACAAGACAUUGGUGGUCAUCUUAACAGAUGUGCACUGACUGAUAUCCUUCAGAAUAGGAAGGAAAUGUGAGAUCUUAAGAAGGAAUUCUAGGGGAGGUCUCAGCUUUACCCCCUGUGACUUGCACUUGGUCAGUAUACAACUUAUUCUUCCCACCAGAGUGAUAGAAAGAAAAAAAGAAACUGAGUUCUGUAUGUUGAGAAAUAUCAUCU
RNAcentral lists this long non-coding RNA (2524 nucleotides) under Homo sapiens (human). RNAcentral describes it as "HSALNT0402220". Lineage: Eukaryota; Metazoa; Chordata; Mammalia; Primates; Hominidae. The record is from RNAcentral.